GGUGCGUUUAUUUUAGUUAAUAUCUAAUUUAAAGGAUUUGUUUUCUUUUAUUAUUAACUAGGAGCGGUCCCCGCGCCCGGCGCGGAGUUGUAGGGAUUUUAAUACCAUUAUUAGUAAUGAACAAUUAAUAGUGUUUAAUCAUAAUAUAUAUAAUAGAAACAUAAAUGAGAAAAAUGAUAUAUUUAAACAAUAGAUAUAUUAUUAAAAUAAUGAUAGUUGCAUAAAAAAAAUGCAAUAAAAAACUGGAUUUUGGUUGAUGUUGUGUGUCAUGAUUUUUUCUCCACAUUGCCUUAGUUUGGUUCAAAGGUUAUGUGUUUAAGCAUGUUUUUUAAUAUGUGGGUUAGUCACUUAAAAAAUAGACCACUCGUUAAAAACUGGUUUCGUGGAGAUAAAUUCAAUCUGAUGAAUGUUGUCUAUGCACUUUUGCAAUGGAGUCUCGAAAUCAUCUCAUGUUCCUCUGUGAGCGCUUCCGAGGUGUGAAAUUUGUUUUUUUCUAGGCUUUAUUCUCGACAAAAGUUGUUUUGCCAUUGGGCUAAGCUACUUUCUUGGACCUGACGCUCUUCCUCUCUUGAGACACUUAAAUAAUUGUCCAUUCAUCAAAGACAGGUUUCUUGGGAAUAAAUUCAAUCUGAUGAGUGUUUUCUUUGCAUUUUUGCAACGGAGUCUCGGGAUCACCUCCUGCUCCUCUGAAGCAGGAUAAUAAACCAGACGUGUUCUUUUGUUUCGAGGUAGUUUUGUCAUUAAUCAUUAAAAAUUAAUUCGUCUUCUAUAAAUUUUGGCUUAUCGUUAGAAAAAUGUAGUGGUCAUAUCAUCGUCUGUGUGAUUUGAUUCGCAAAAUUAGAGUAUUCUCAAGGUGUUGACCUACAUAUAUUAAUAUGUAAUUGUGUAUAUGUUGUGUAAUUUUCAAAUGUUUGUUUUAAAUAUGUUAUUUUGGUUUGAUUAGGUGUCUUAAGGAGAAUUACUGCACGUAUAUGCAAUCAGGUUCUGUUCAACCCUAAAUGUCUAGAGUUUUGGAGGAUGUGGUAUUUUUUUGCUGGCAAGGAUCACACAUUUUGCACUUGAGAUUCCGAGACUCCGUUGCAAAAGUGCAAAAUGUGCUUAAUAACUAUAAAUUUUUGUGAUCCUUAACACAAAACGA
Arabidopsis lyrata subsp. lyrata is the source of this 1138-nucleotide long non-coding RNA. RefSeq lists it as uncharacterized. NCBI's taxonomy places the organism in Eukaryota, Viridiplantae, Streptophyta, Magnoliopsida, Brassicales, Brassicaceae. The transcript is spliced from 2 exons. The record is from RefSeq and is a predicted model, not a curated record.